This 443-nucleotide ribosomal RNA is filed under the name uncultured bacterium. RNAcentral describes it as "partial 16S ribosomal RNA". It matches the Rfam family "Bacterial small subunit ribosomal RNA", at positions 338 to 795 of the family's 1533-position model. The record is from RNAcentral.
CCUACGGGGGGCAGCAGUGGGGAAUAUUGGGCAAUGGGCGCAAGCCUGACCCAGCAACGCCGCGUGAAGGAAGAAGGCUUUCGGGUUGUAAACUUCUUUUCUCAGGGACGAAGAAAGUGACGGUACCUGAGGAAUAAGCCACGGCUAACUACGUGCCAGCAGCCGCGGUAAUACGUAGGUGGCAAGCGUUAUCCGGAUUUACUGGGUGUAAAGGGCGUGUAGGCGGGACUGCAAGUCAGAUGUGAAAACCACGGGCUCAACCUGUGGCCUGCAUUUGAAACUGUAGUUCUUGAGUACUGGAGAGGUAAGCGGAAUUCCUGGUGUAGCGGUGAAAUGCGUAGAUAUUAGGAGGAACACCAGUGGCGAAGGCGGCUUACUGGACUGUAACUGACGUUGAGGCUCGAAAGCGUGGGGAACAAACAGGAUUAGAUACCCCUGUAGUC